This 45-nucleotide non-coding RNA is filed under the name Schistosoma margrebowiei. Lineage: Eukaryota; Metazoa; Platyhelminthes; Trematoda; Strigeidida; Schistosomatidae. The record is from RNAcentral.
AUCGACAUGACGAGUCCCAAAUAAGACGAAACACACGUUGUUCAU